Long non-coding RNA from Oncorhynchus nerka (sockeye salmon), 751 nucleotides. RefSeq lists it as uncharacterized. NCBI's taxonomy places the organism in Eukaryota, Metazoa, Chordata, Actinopteri, Salmoniformes, Salmonidae. The record is from RefSeq and is a predicted model, not a curated record. The transcript has 3 exons.
GGCCCUUCCCAACAAUGCAGAGAGAAACAACAGUGAAAUGUUUACUUACAGGUCCUUCCCAACAAUGCAGAGAGAAACAACAGUGAAAUGCUUACUUACAGGCCCUUCCCAACAAUGCAGAGAGAAACAACAGGUAUAGACUAACAGUGAAAUGCUUACUUACAGGCCCUUCCCAACAAUGCAGAGAGAAACAACAGUGAAAUGCUUACUUACAGGCCCUUCCCAACAAUGCAGAGAGAAACAACAGUGAAAUGCUUACAGGCCCUUCCCAACAAUGCAGAGAGAAACAACAGUGAAAUGUUUACUUACAGGUCCUUCCCAACAAUGCAGAGAGAAACAACAGUGAAAUGCUUACUUACAGGCCCUUCCCAACAAUGCAGAGAGAAUCAACAGUGAAAUGCUUACUUACAGGCCCUUCCCAACAAUGCAGAGAGAAACAACAGGUAUAGACUAACAGUGAAAUGUUUACUUACAGGCCCUUCCCAACAAUGCAGAGAGAAACAACAGGUAUAGACUAACAGUGAAAUGCUUACUUACAGGCCCUUCCCAACAAUACAGAGAGAAACAACAGGUGUAGACUAACAGUGAAAUGCUUACUUACAGGCCCUUCCCAACAAUACAGAGAGAAACAACAGGUAUAGACUAACAGUGAAAUGUUUACUUACAGGCCCUUCCCAACAAUACAGAGAGAAACAACAGGUAUAGACUAACAGUGAAAUGUUUACUUACAGGCCCUUCCCAACAAUGCAGA